UGCAGUCGAGCGGUAGCACAGAGAGCUUGCUCUCGGGUGACGAGCGGCGGACGGGUGAGUAAUGUCUGGGAAACUGCCUGAUGGAGGGGGAUAACUACUGGAAACGGUAGCUAAUACCGCAUAACGUCGCAAGACCAAAGUGGGGGACCUUCGGGCCUCAUGCCAUCAGAUGUGCCCAGAUGGGAUUAGCUAGUAGGUGGGGUAAUGGCUCACCUAGGCGACGAUCCCUAGCUGGUCUGAGAGGAUGACCAGCCACACUGGAACUGAGACACGGUCCAGACUCCUACGGGAGGCAGCAGUGGGGAAUAUUGCACAAUGGGCGCAAGCCUGAUGCAGCCAUGCCGCGUGUAUGAAGAAGGCCUUCGGGUUGUAAAGUACUUUCAGCGAGGAGGAAGGCGUUAAGGUUAAUAACCUUAGCGAUUGACGUUACUCGCAGAAGAAGCACCGGCUAACUCCGUGCCAGCAGCCGCGGUAAUACGGAGGGUGCAAGCGUUAAUCGGAAUUACUGGGCGUAAAGCGCACGCAGGCGGUCUGUCAAGUCGGAUGU
RNAcentral lists this ribosomal RNA (547 nucleotides) under Klebsiella aerogenes. RNAcentral's name for it is "bacterial SSU rRNA". It matches the Rfam family "Bacterial small subunit ribosomal RNA", at positions 56 to 595 of the family's 1533-position model. Lineage: Bacteria; Pseudomonadati; Pseudomonadota; Gammaproteobacteria; Enterobacterales; Enterobacteriaceae. The record is from RNAcentral.